This 850-nucleotide long non-coding RNA is filed under the name Vitis vinifera (wine grape). RNAcentral describes it as "long non-coding RNA (VVIN_LNC003428)". Lineage: Eukaryota; Viridiplantae; Streptophyta; Magnoliopsida; Vitales; Vitaceae. The record is from RNAcentral.
CCUGUUUUUCUUUUAUCGUAGAAUCAUCUAAUACAACAAUGCAGCUGCAACGGACAAGAGGGUAGCAGAUAAACCGGCGACGGAGAAAGAGGGAGCAGAGCCUGGUGAAGGAGGGGUGGUAGAACCUGAAGGGGAUUGUGAUGGACCACCUGAGGGGGACGGUGAUGUGGGAGUGGUGGAGCUGGAGGGUGGGGUGGUUGGACUUGUGGAAGAGUUGGUAGUGACGUUAAUGGCCAACUUCUGGCCGAGGGAGCAGUGGCUACCGACGGUGCAGAUGAAAUAGUGUUCACCGGCGGUGUCAAGAUCGAUAUCUGCAGGGCCUUCGGUUUCAUGGGAGAUGGGGUUUGUGCCAUUGCAGGCAGUGAACGCCGCCUUUGUAACUUCGGCAACAUCAUGUGCUCCGGUUGUGAAAUUGAAUUCUGCAAAACAUACAAACAGAGAAUAUGUCAGCCGGAGAAAUUUCUUAAUCGCUACAGCGUUUGAAGGGUUAUCCAGCUUCCAAGUUAGAUUUUUCCGUCAACUUACUCAGACUGUCUCCCACCACGAAGGUCUUGUUCGCAGCCCAGUUCUGGUAAGUAACGGCACCGCCCGAAGGAACAGUCCAACCCAAAGAGUCUCCGACGAUGAACUCAGUCUCAGCUCUGGCAGCAGAGACGUUGACGGCCAGCUUCUGACCCAAGCUACAGUGGGUGCCCACGGUGCAGAUGAAAUAAUGCUCACCGGAAGUAUCAAGAGUGAAGUUUGCAGGACCUGUGGUUUUAUGGGAGAUGGGAUUCGUGGAAUUGCAGGCAUCGAAGGCAGUCUUGGUAACCUUCGCCACAUCAUGUGCCCCAGUAGUAAAUUCAAAUUC